This 223-nucleotide unclassified non-coding RNA is filed under the name plant metagenome. RNAcentral's name for it is "partial contains small subunit ribosomal RNA, internal transcribed spacer 1, and 5.8S ribosomal RNA". The record is from RNAcentral.
UUUCCGUAGGUGAACCUGCGGAAGGAUCAUUACAGUGUUCUCUGCCCUCACGGGUAGAAACGCCCACCCUUGUAUAUUAUAUCUUUGUUGCUUUGGCAGGCCGCCCUCGGGCACCGGCUCCGGCUGGAUCGCGCCUGCCAGAGGAAACCCAAACUCUGAAUGUUAGUGUCGUCUGAGUACUAUCUAAUAGUUAAAACUUUCAACAACGGAUCUCUUGGUUCUC